This 1149-nucleotide long non-coding RNA is filed under the name Pogona vitticeps (central bearded dragon). RNAcentral's name for it is "lncRNA (ENSPVIG00000003733.1)". Lineage: Eukaryota; Metazoa; Chordata; Lepidosauria; Squamata; Agamidae. The record is from RNAcentral.
AUGGGGUGCCCACGGUCGACAUCACAGGAUCCAUGGACUCUGGACAAAACAAAAGCAGUCAUUACACAUCAACCACCUAGAGCUUUUAGCUAUUAUCAAAGCUUUCCAUGCCUUCCUACCCAUCAUUGCAGGACGUGCAGUCCAACUUGCUACAGACAAUACAACAGCUCUUUAUUAUGUCAACAAGCAGGGCAAUACAUAUUCCCUUUCCUUACUGUACCUAGCUGUCAAGCUCUGGGAAUGGUGCUACCUUCACCACAUCUUCCCAGUAGCAGUCCAUAUUGCUACAAACAAUCUGCUUUCAGACCAUCUCAGUCAUCUAAUCAUGAGGACACGCGAGUGGUCGUUAGACGACAAAGUCUUCACCCUUCUUUGUCAUUGAUGGGGGACUCCUUCCACCAAUGUUUUUGCUGCCAAGAACAAUACCAAGUGCCAACUAUAUUGUUCCGGUGCCGGUAUCAGCAGAGGCUGUCUCGGAGACGCCUUCAUGAUAAAAUGGGACAGCAGACUCUUCUACCGAUUCCUGCCAAUCCUUCUGAUACAAUGCACCAUCAUUUGGCUCCGACAGUUUCAAUUGGAUGUGAUCCUUCUUGCCCCAUGGUGGCCACAUCAACUGUGGUUCACCCACCUGAGGUCGAUGUUAAUCGACAUCCUCCAUCUUCUGUUGAUCCCCAACCUGAUGUUAAUCAACAUCCUCCAUCUUCUGUUGAUCCCCAACCUCCUUAUGCAGGACAACGGGCUCCUUUACCAUCCCAAUCUCGAAUCUCUGAAACUGAUGGUGUGGAGGAUACUCCCGAAAUAAGGGAUGUACUUGACAGAGCUCGGAAACCAUUGACACAGAUCCUUUAUCGAAAUAAAUGGAAAGCAUUUCUCUCCUUCGUCAACUCUAAGAAUUUACCUGCAGUACCAGUUUCACUAAAUACUUUGCCUACCUUCAUACUCCAUCUUUUUUGUCUUGGAUUGUCCCAUUCUACAAAGGUUUAUAUUGCUGCUAUUUUAACACACCAACCUUCUCAUUCAGAUGGAGCUAGACUUUUCUCCCAUCUGACUUUGAAAAAUUUUCUUAAAGGACUUCGUAAUAUCCUCCCUCCACAUCAACCACCUCUUCCCCAAUGGUCAUUGCAACUUGUCCUCAAUGCACUGACCUGA